Long non-coding RNA from Chelonia mydas (Green sea turtle), 1950 nucleotides. RefSeq lists it as uncharacterized. Lineage: Eukaryota; Metazoa; Chordata; Testudines; Cheloniidae. The transcript has 3 exons. The record is from RefSeq and is a predicted model, not a curated record.
CCCUCCAUAAUGCCAACUAUAAUAAACUUCAGAGCUCAGGGUGAACCAUUCAAGAAAUAUAUGUUUGCUGAUGAUGUUUUAAAGAAAGUCACCUCAGUGAACUGGUGGAAGUCACUUAAGCACUUGAAUUCAAAGACUGUUGAAGUAAUGAUCUCACUUUUAACAGCAGUAGCUUCUUCUGCUGGUGUAGAAAGAAUAUUUUCUUCCUUUGGACUAAUUCAUUCCAAAUUGAGAAAUCGUUUGGGACCUGAAAAAGCAGGAAAGCUUGUUUUUCUUUUCCAGAUUAUGAACAAACAGGAAAAUGAAGAUAAAGGAGUGUGAUGUGAUUAACUUCGGAGCUUACUCGACAAUUGGAUUGAGGAGAACAAGUACCGCAAUAAAGAAGCCCAUUUACUCAAUCUGCCUCUUGGUCCUCCUGCUCAUUCUAACAUCUGGCAUCACAAACAGGAUCCCAGGGGUGCGUCGUGCCUGAUCACCACAUCUCGCCAUGGAUUCAAUGAACACUCUGUGAGCAAGCUGGUGCCAGUGGAAGAACAACCCAGAACACCAUGGGUCUACUGUCACGAUGAAGACUGUGUUGUGUGUUUUGUGUUGUUUGUCUUGUUAUUACCGUUAUUUUGGUGACCAUUGUAUAAGGAGGGUUAACGCAUAUAGCAGCAAAGGUCAGUGCAUGGUAUAACCUGCGUGGAGAGCACGAUCUGUCCAACUGGGGGAAUCAAGUAAUGUACUGCAUUCCAGGAGAACACCAUCCCUUCCCAGUUCCUAAAUGGCGGUUUCCUUACCUAGUCUUUGACCAGUUGGGGCCCAGCCUGCUGCUAUUGCGAACGAAAAAUGGAGGACAGAAAUGGGUUUAUUGCACGCAAAUAAAAAGGCACAGAAUGGGGGUUAAAAAUGGGAAUGGAUAAAUUUUAUUGCAUGCCUCUUACAGGUGGACCCACAAAGGGAAAAAAAGGAUGCCCUGGCCUGAAAUAGAACAACCGUUGCUGCUAUUCUUGCUAUUGUAAGCCCUACCCAAAUCCAGCAAUGUGAAGUGGCAAAGGGAGGAAACACGUGGACUGCUACACCCCCAAGUGGUGGUAAUGAGGCAAAUAAGGACUUAAAGGAUUUACCCGUGGAAAACUGUACUACUUAUCCCCCAUGGGAAUUUGGCAAUGUUGGUAUGUGGUGUAUGGAUUAGAGGGUGGUGGGUCCUCACCCGGUGGAGAAUCUCAAAUUUAUCAGGAAAUAUUGCAUGGUAUUCCUUAAAAUAUGCCAUAAUGAAUGACAGUGGGAAACAGUCAUUCAGACAUGUGGUUUAUCAUGAAGGGCCCAAAAAUAUGACUAUCUGGCAUCCUGGGCAUCUGGGUUAUGGGACCCAAUAUUGGGGUGUGGUGUUACCAUGUGUAACCAUAAUGGUACCUUGAUAGAGGAUAAUCCUUAGGCUUGCAGUUACGUACAUACCAAACUGGGCAUAAAGUCUCCCCUGGAAUGCUGGGAAUAUGACAAUUUAACCGCUUUGCAGAAUGUAACCCUACAGGUAAUGUGGAUGCCAAGCUGGAAGGAUGCUGAUUUAAGCUGGCUGCAGCCUGGAGCUGGAAAUACUUCCUUAUGGGUGAACGUGUGGGAGCCACUAUGGGAGCAGGAGCAACCAGAGCUCAUCAAUAUGUCCUUUCAGUCCAUUACAUGGAUGGGUGGUACACCUCAGAGAAUGGUGGAUGAAUCGGGCACACCCCAACUACAGAAUAUCCAUAGAAGGGUUAAAGCAACUAUUUAAUUGGUGGGUGAGGGGAUACACAUGGAAUUGUCGCUGCAGAAGGAAUUUAUGGGCAGUAGGAACCACAGGGUUGAUUGUAUGGACUUUGGGGGACUGUUGGGUAAUUAAGUAAUUAAUAAGCCAAAAUGUAAAACUUCAACAACAAAUCAAUGAACUACUGGCACAGCAACUGUCAGGGUUCCUUCCCCACUCUGAAC